UACGAAGGGUGCUAGCGUUGCUCGGAAUCACUGGGCGUAAAGCGCACGUAGGCGGAUUGCUAAGUCAGGGGUGAAAUCCUGGAGCUCAACUCCAGAACUGCCUUUGAUACUGGCGAUCUCGAGUCCGGGAGAGGUGAGUGGAACUGCGAGUGUAGAGGUGAAAUUCGUAGAUAUUCGCAAGAACACCAGUGGCGAAGGCGGCUCACUGGCCCGGUACUGACGCUGAGGUGCGAAAGCGUGGGGAGCAAACAGG
RNAcentral lists this ribosomal RNA (253 nucleotides) under uncultured bacterium. Its description in RNAcentral is "partial 16S ribosomal RNA". It matches the Rfam family "Bacterial small subunit ribosomal RNA", at positions 524 to 776 of the family's 1533-position model. The record is from RNAcentral.